AAAGAAUGCUCUCAAAUGAUUGGGGUUUUGGUUGGCCUUCCAAUUAUGGCUUUAAGAAGCUUGCAUUCCUUCAGAAACUGAGAAGAACAUAAAUAACAAAGUGAACACUGAUUUUGGAGGAAGAGAGGCAAAAAGCAAGAAAAGACCAUGGAUUAGAGAAGUAAAGAUUGAAAGGGCAAGGAGGAAAUGAAAGGCCUCCGCUCAAU
RNAcentral lists this long non-coding RNA (206 nucleotides) under Gallus gallus (chicken). Lineage: Eukaryota; Metazoa; Chordata; Aves; Galliformes; Phasianidae. The record is from RNAcentral.